UAGCUUACAGCUGAGGAGCCCCCCAGGGCCCCAUCACAGUUCUCCUCAGGUCAGCAGCAGGGCUAGAAACAUCAACAGCAGCCACUGACUGCUGUGAGAGGCUCACUCUUCAGCUGCACAUCUCCACAGGGCUCUCUGAAGAUGGCUGCAUGAGUGGAGGUUCUAAGAAGGCUGCAAUGACCACAGGGCAAAGGCAGGUUCUGCCUUCCCAGGAUUAUCUCAAACAGUUUACACUGGUUGUGGUUAAAGAGAAAGGGAUAGACAGCAUGGAGCACGAAGAGGGGUGCAAAUGCUGCCCUUAACUGAUUCUCUAAAUCAGAACACCUAACACUCUCCAUGGAAAUUGUGUUGCACUCUUACCAGCUCCUUAUACUGAGUAAUAUGACAGGUCCAAAUCCAAGUCCCACUAGUUCUGAGAUUAAGAAGAAAAUUGUUGUCAGGCUGCAAUGGACAAUGAUGGAUUUAUGAUUCUUUGGAAAACCACACCUUGUUUUGAAGGAUUAGACGUUGUAAUCCGUACAUCAAGUCAACAAAAACACACCAUAGCAGGAACAGGCAAGGAGCAAGGCAUCCAAUUACUAAUGCAAAAUAAUGCAGGUUUGUUUUUUUUUCACCCUACUGUCAUUAGUGUUAGCUCAUAUAAAAUCACUUUCCUGCAGCAGAAGCUGCUUUCUGUAUGAAGUGAAAAUAUACUUUCCCCUUCAAGAGCUUCUACUCUUCACUGUAGAUGUGCCCAAAUUUUGAGGGGCAUACCCAAAAGUAGUCAGGGAAGGAGAGAGCAGGGCCGGGCUCACGGGCUCUCUGGGGUUGGGGCAGUGGCAGUGGCACAGCGGGGUGACUCUCCCUGCGCCCCUCCCCGGCACACUGCAGCCACCAGCAAACCCCUGAUGGGCUAAGGUGGGCCUGCCCCAGACAGAGAGUGUGCUUUGAGUGCAGGCUAUGAACAAGCCAGUACAGAAUUCCACUUCUGCAGAGGCUGUGAAAGAGGGGGCAGACUGCGGACAGACGGCACCAGCCUCGCGUUAGCUGAGUUAAUCACUGCGUCACUCUGGGUUAACUCACCUCUUUCUUCAUGCCCAUUUUGGAACUUGAUCAUCAGAAACACCUUGUUAUUCUUUCUGCGUCUCCUAUUAGCAGCCCCAGAAGUGACAUAGGAGCAAAUUAGCUGUUUUGUAGUGGCAAGGGUAUUAUUUUCUGAAUUUGGGGUAAUUAAAGCUGUGGCAGCAUUGGCAAGGGUGGACUUCAAUCACAUUUUCUCUCUGAAAUUAUGAGCACGAGAAAGAAGAACAUGCUAACACCAGUGAGAGAGAAAAUUCCAUAAUUAUUUGACCUAUUUUACAAGAUACAAAAUAUUUUGGUCUUAUGGGACACUAUUUGGAGUAAAUCUGGUUUUAAAAUAUGCCAAAAAUUUGGUGAGUUGGUGCAGGUCUUCAAUCCCAUUCAAUUAUUUGCCUACAGUACCACACAUUGCAGGGAGACAUAAGAGGAAGAGGAAAUGCAGAAUAGUAACCACUGUUAAUGUAAAAUGCACAAAAAUGGAUUAUAAACACAGGGCCAAGAAUUUUUUUCCACUCUAGCCUGUAAGAAUUUUGCAAAAAGCUAAGAGCAGUUUGUAAUGUGAUCAUGUCUCAGAACAGAAAGUGAGAGCGUUCACACCAGUUCUGUGCUGGAAUCUCAAAGCAGCACCUUCAUCCAGUCACUGGCUUGUGAGUCUUGAAGAUACAAAAUUGUGAAGAAAGACUUGCUUGGAAGCUUUUUCUGCAACAGUCAAGUACUUAAAAGUUAGACAAAGCUGUACACGCAGCAUGAGGCAUUUGUCAUCUGCACAACAGAAGAAAACACCAUAUUCAGAAGAAAUAGAUGUUGCAGUUUCAAGCCUGAUCCUUUAGUGCAGUGUUUGAUCUAGGAACAGUAAUCACAUCCCAUUUACUGUGCUGAUAAAAGAAUAUGGAGCUGCCACAGUCAGUUUGGAUGGAUGCCAAGACAAACUCAGGCAGAACUGAAAAAUCCCGUUAAGAUGACUGAGUGGCAAAUGAUGGUUAUUUAUUCUAAUCAAUUUGUUAAUUUACUUCUGGAAAA
Passer domesticus (house sparrow) is the source of this 2079-nucleotide long non-coding RNA. RefSeq lists it as uncharacterized. NCBI's taxonomy places the organism in Eukaryota, Metazoa, Chordata, Aves, Passeriformes, Passeridae. The record is from RefSeq and is a predicted model, not a curated record. The transcript is spliced from 3 exons.